Molecule: long non-coding RNA, 518 nt
Organism: Notolabrus celidotus (New Zealand spotty)
Lineage: Eukaryota; Metazoa; Chordata; Actinopteri; Labriformes; Labridae
Exons: 3
Source: RefSeq, a predicted model, not a curated record
GCAAUUUAGAGUGACCAAUUAACCUGGAAUGCAUGUUUUUGGGAGGAAGCCGGAGAGAUUCCACACAUGCAACUCCACACAGUAAGGCACCUGCCUGACUGGGUACUCGUACCAGGAACCUUCUCACUGUGAGGCAGCAGUGCUACCCACUGCAGCACUGUGCAGCCAAUAUAAAACACACAGCAACAAAAAAAGCAGUUACCCUUCUGAAGCUUUCUUUUUUGAACAGCCAGACAAAUGUUGGUGAUUAUGAGGACAACAACCAGGCCCACCAGGACUGGACAAGUCAGCUUCAUCAUUCCAACCCACGCUUCUACAAGAAAGGUGUGGCUCAGGAGACACACCUGCGAGCAAUCUGAAUCAGCAGCACUACAAAUACCUGGUCCUCCUGCCACUUCAGUGCUGGAUUGUUCCUUCGCCACGGCGAUCCUCCUGCUACAUGUUUUUCACCAGGCAUCUGGGAGCUGGCUUCCUAGAUAUUUUUGUUUUGCUUCAGUUGUCUCCACAAUAAAUUGAUU